This 34-nucleotide transfer RNA is filed under the name Natrix natrix (European grass snake). RNAcentral's name for it is "partial transfer RNA-Leu". Lineage: Eukaryota; Metazoa; Chordata; Lepidosauria; Squamata; Natricidae. The record is from RNAcentral.
UCUACCAAAGGAUAAUAGUAUUCCACUGGUCUUA